AUGAGCUGCCUCACGUUCCGCCGCUCCGCCGCCGACGCAAGCCGCCUCCAGGACGGCCUCCUCGUCUUCAUGUUCUUCAUCUCGAUUCCCAUACGUAGUCUGAAUACUUCGUCUUCUUCUUCUCGUCGGGCGACGGUCGCGCCGGCGGCCAUGGAUCCCAACAGCUUCAAAACCGGAGGCCUUCUGCUUCCAACCAUUGAGAGGCGGUGCGCUUCGCCUCCAUCUGUGAUCGUGAUCGGCGGCGGAAUCUCAGGGAUUGCCGCGGCUCGUGUCCUCUCCAAUUCCUCUUUUGAGGUGACUGUCCUUGAGUCGAGAGAUCGAAUCGGCGGCCGUGUUCACACGGAUUACUCCUUUGGAUGCCCCAUUGACAUGGGAGCCUCAUGGUUGCACGGUGUCAGUAAUGAGAAUUCUUUAGCACCACUGAUAAGCCAUCUUGGGCUGAGAUUAUACCACACUAGUGGUGACAACUCUGUUUUGUAUGACCAUGAUUUGGAAAGCUGUUCGCUCUUUGAUAAGAACGGCCUUGCAGUCCCAAUGGAGACGGCUGCUAAAGUUGGCGUGAUAUUUGAGAAAAUUCUCAAGGAGACGGUGAAACUCCGUGAUGAGCAGGAGCACGACAUGCCCCUUGAACAGGCAAUCUCGAUGGUGCUUGAGAGGCACCCUGAUCUCAAGCUGGAAGGGCUAGAUGAUCGAAUCCUGCAAUGGUGCGUCUGCCGGCUGGAGGCAUGGUUUGCUGCAGAUGCAGAUGAAAUAUCUCUGAAGAACUGGGAUCAGGAACAUGUUCUCACUGGUGGCCAUGGCCUGAUGGUUGAUGGAUACUUUCCUGUAAUUCAGGCUCUCGCUCAAGGUCUCGACAUCCGUCUGAAUCAGAGAGUGAAGAAAAUUGCACGCCAGCAGAAGGGAGUGACCGUCACCAUCGAAGACGGCACGCAAUACUCUGCCGACGCCUGCAUAAUCACUGUGCCGCUCGGUGUGCUGAAGGCGAACAUAAUCAAGUUCGAGCCUGAGCUGCCCUCCUGGAAGAGCUCCGCCAUCGCGGACCUCGGCGUCGGCAUAGAAAACAAGGUCGCCAUGCACUUCGACAAGGCCUUCUGGCCUAAUGUCCAGGUGCUGGGCAUGGUCGGCCCUACGCCGAAGACCUGCGGCUACUUCCUGAACCUCCACAAGGCCACUGGCCACCCGGUGCUCGUCUUCAUGGCAGCCGGUCGGUUCGCCCAGGAUGUGGAGAAGCUCUCAGACAAGGAGGCCGUGGAACUCGUCAUGUGUCACCUGAGGAAGAUGAUACCCGACGCCACUGAACCCAGUCAGUACCUGGUAUCGCGGUGGGGCUCGGACCCGAACUCGCUGGGGUCCUACUCGUGCGACCUGGUGGGGAAGCCGUCGGACGUGUGCGAGAGGUUCUCGGCGCCGGUGGAGAGCGUGCUGUACUUCGCUGGAGAGGCGGCCAGCGCGGAGCACUCGGGAGCUGUGCACGGCGCAUACUCGUCAGGCAUGGACGCCGCUGAGGAAUGCCGGAGGAGGCUGCUGAUGAGGAAGGGCGUUCCGGACCUCGUCCAGGUCGGCGCCGCCGCCUGCGAAGAGAUGGCCGACGUCGUCGCCCCUCUCCAGAUUUGCCGCACCUAG
This 1623-nucleotide ribosomal RNA is filed under the name Triticum aestivum (bread wheat). Its description in RNAcentral is "partial small subunit ribosomal RNA". Lineage: Eukaryota; Viridiplantae; Streptophyta; Magnoliopsida; Poales; Poaceae. The record is from RNAcentral.